RNA transcript from Cucurbita pepo subsp. pepo (vegetable marrow), 1282 nucleotides. RefSeq lists it as uncharacterized. The record is from RefSeq and is a predicted model, not a curated record. NCBI's taxonomy places the organism in Eukaryota, Viridiplantae, Streptophyta, Magnoliopsida, Cucurbitales, Cucurbitaceae.
CUUCAUUACCCCACGGGUUUGUUCGCACGCCAAGGACCCAAAUCGUCAUAACCUCGAAGCUUCCGUUCGAUUGAAUCGGAGGUAAAACAAGUCGGCCACCGCCUUCUCCGUCGCCGGAUAACUCAUUGAUCCCGUCGUUCUAACAGAAAUCCGAUAUUCGUGAUUAUAGUUUUCUGAAUUUGAUUCAGGCGAGUUGCGUAUAGGGUUUUGAUUAAUUCGCGAUAUGCCGAUUCGGCGUAGUACGAGUUUCAAAGUUUUGACGGUUUUUCUUCUUGUUUCGGCAUCUCUGAGCUGCUGUUCAGGGGGCGAAGAAUCGGCGGUUGUUACGCUUGAUUCCAUCGUAAUAUACAAGACGCACGAAUGGUUAGCUUCGAAACCGACUGUUUAUUUUAAAUGUCAAGGGGGAAAUAAGACGAAAUUGCCUGAUGUACAGAAAGUGCAUGUUCUAUACAGCUUCAAUGGUGAAGAAUCUUGGCAGCCAUUGACUGAAUUUAAAAGCAAAAAAUGUAAGCGAUGUGGGUUCUAUGAGGAGGACAGCAUUAAAUCUGAUGAUGUAUUUGAAGAAUGGGAGUUAUGUCCAUCUGAUUUUACCGCACCCGAUGGGGAAUAUGUUCGAUACAACAAAAAAGAGUUCAAUGCCACUUUUCUGUGCUUGGAGUGCACUGCUUAUUCCAAUGUUACCAGUUCAAGCUCACAUUCACAGGAUACAGAAAAGGGAAUGCAUGCUGCUGCAAUCAUACUUAUCAGUGUUAUAGUUUCAACUGUGUUAAUUAUUGGUAUGGUGAUAGGAUACAAGUACUGGCAAAAAAAGAGAAGAGAGCAAGAUCAGGCCAGAUUCCUGAAGCUGUUUGAAGAUGGUGAUGACAUCGAGGAUGAAUUGGGCCUUAACGAUGUAAUUUGAGAAGAUUUGGUACACAUCAAGAAAGAGAAAUACAUCUUUCUUGGAGGGGAUGAAAAGCAGCAAAAGGAAGAGAAAAAGAAAGGCAUCAUCACCAGGCAAGAGAUAUGCCUUGCGCAGACCGUCGGCGUAGUGGCUAACAUGUGCUACACACCAUUGCUCUUAUCUUCUGAGGUACAUGCCAAUGAAGGCACUCUUUCAGUCCCUGGACAUGCAAUUUACUAAUGAUGUUAGUACACCAUUUUUAUGGCUUCAACUCAACAAUAUUUGGUUGUAUUUCGUUCGUUCUCUCUCUCGAGAAAGUAAUAACUCAGUCCAUAAACGUUAGUUUGUGUUGUUACCAACUUCUGGACGGAAAAAAUAUAUUUGUCCUUCACGUGAAAA